GAGAUAUUAGUAAAUAUAUUACACUACUUUGUCAGGGCAGAAUAACAAAAUAAAACUUGUAUAUCUCU
RNAcentral lists this transfer RNA (68 nucleotides) under Microcaecilia sp. PZ-2009. RNAcentral describes it as "tRNA-Asp". The record is from RNAcentral. Lineage: Eukaryota; Metazoa; Chordata; Amphibia; Gymnophiona; Siphonopidae.